This 77-nucleotide transfer RNA is filed under the name Synergistota bacterium. RNAcentral describes it as "Synergistetes bacterium (oil production facility metagenome) tRNA-Arg". It matches the Rfam family "tRNA". Rfam says of the family: Transfer RNA (tRNA) molecules are approximately 80 nucleotides in length. Lineage: Bacteria; Thermotogati; Synergistota. The record is from RNAcentral.
GCGGUUGUAGCUCAAGAGGACAGAGCGCUGGCCUCCUAAGCCGGAGGUUGCGGGUUCGAGUCCCGCCAACCGCGCCA